Molecule: long non-coding RNA, 2513 nt
Organism: Zeugodacus cucurbitae (melon fly)
Lineage: Eukaryota; Metazoa; Arthropoda; Insecta; Diptera; Tephritidae
Exons: 3
Source: RefSeq, a predicted model, not a curated record
UAAUGUAUACAUUUAUACGUAUAUACAUAUAAAACAGUACACCAACAUAAAAUACAUUUAAUAAAAUCAAAAUAAGUAAAUAAAUAUUUUAUUACUCAUAAAUAUAUAAAUGUCUUUACAUUAGGACUUUUGAAGAAUCUUUUUUUAUUUUCAAGUUAUAUUCUUUAGUUAUCACACAUUUUUAAAAUUCGCAUGAAUAUUCCAAUCUGUCCAUAGUUCUAUCGGUCAUUUUCGUGCUUUUAUCCAAACGCGCAACCAUGGCGACAAGCAAAGCGGUUGCCUUUAUGAAUCGCGUUUGUAACGCGGCCAGAAAGCAGGAAGUUGUGUGAACCUUUCUCCUUAAGUAACUACAUGACCAACUACGCGCUCGGAACUUUCCAAUGAAAGGAUUCGUUUAAUGCGCCUGCUCAGGGAAUGGUAAUAGUGGCGCCAUCUGUCGGAGCUAACUGUUGAUAACAGCCAUUUUGUUUAUGCCUUAUUCGCUUCCGCAGUCGGAUAACUAUAGGCUAACAAACCUGCUGCCACGUUCACUCACUACAUUCUAGCGCCUGCUAAAGCACAUUGACUUCCAGUAAAUACUAUUACUGCCCUGCUCAUUCCAGUAGCUCAGACCUGCGCACUAGUUAAGCAACGCCCACGUUUGUUGUUUUUGCUUUAAGCAGGUACUCAGGCGAUGACUAGCUGACUCGCUUCAACAGUGGUUUGUUUACUACGGAGCCGAGCACUAUAUGCUCAAUGAGCGAGUGUUGUGCAAAGAGUAAGUGCACGAGCUCUUGUGCGACAGCCACAAACUCUUCGAUGCGGUUUGAGACAUUAUCUCUUUUAAUGUUGACUUUUGUGCUGGCGAUAUGUGGCGGAAUUUUGACAUUAUCCUGACAGAACAUGUAGUGUUGCCUGACAGAUUUAUUUUUCUCAUUUUAUGGACAAAUUUACCAUUUAAAUGAACUUUCAAAUAUAAUAAAUUUUCUUGAAAUUUAUAUUUGAAUAUCAGCCUGUUUAUACUACUGGAGAAGCACAGAAGAUAAGUUGAACUGAUUUGGUAACCCAAAACUUAAAUUAAAUGUGUGAUUAAAUCGCAUUCUUACAUGUAAACCCGAAUUUCUUGUUAUUUGGAUUGUUAAAUUAUUUUAUCGAUUACUUGUUUAUUGUGAUGUUUAUUAGCUAUGCACAUAUAUGUCAAAAAGACGAAUAAGGAAAACGAUGUGUUUUCUUAUCGGAAAUACAUAGAUAUUCAAUAUUCAAAGAUCGCCGAUAUAAAUAAUUUGAUGUCUCUAUCUGUUCAAAAUAAUAAAAAAAGAUAAUUUCUUUUAUUAGGAAUACUAUGGACCACAAUCAAAACGCUCUUCGUUUUCUUUGUAAUUGUGAUAAUGCAUAAAAAUGUCAUCAGUUUCACUUUCCGGAAUUACGUACAUAUAUAAUGGAGACAGAUCAAAAUCACAUCAUAUGUCGUCGGCAGCAAAACAAACAUAUUUACUUACAAGUACACGUGUAACCGUGCUUUGUGGCUGUUGGUUCCUUCGCACCGGUGCUAACAAAAUAACAAUAGACCAGUCUUUACAGUGGCUCGAGUCUCUUCGCAAGCAAACACCUUCGCUGCAGUUCAAAGUCAGCUGAUCAGUUCGAUCGUAAGCAGCACAAAGCGUGUGUGUUUACUUUCGUUAAUUUACGUAGUAUAAUUUUGUAUGCAAAUUUUUAAUUUAUGCUCUGCCUUCUUUCUUACGAAUUUUCUGUGUAUUUCUAGCAGUACUCGGGUAUUUCAAAUUAUUCGAAUAGCCUCUUUUUCACGCUUUUAUUUUGUUCAUUGUACUUUUACUUUCAAUGAUAAGAAUAUUAAUACAACUGUGUCUUUUGUUAUUUAUUUAUUGACGUACACAAACAAUACUUUCUGGUCCCGAGCACAGUAAUUUUUAUUAUAAGUAUUGCAGUUUCGUUCACAUAAGCGUUAUACAUAAUUGCAACAACAUAAAAUCGCCGAGUACUAUAGUUAUAAACACUUGAACAAGAACAAUAGACCUUACUUCAACCAUUCGGUGUACGAGGUUUUAUAUCGAAUACGGAUAAGAUUGACUAACAUCUCAAAGAUAUAUUUGAUGUCACAUUCUGGGUCUUAAACGAUUAAUUGUUAUCAAUUUCUUCGGUAAUAUGAACCACCCAGUUAUCUUGAAUUCCACUUAGUAAAUCCUGCGUUAUUGUCGUUUGAUUUCUUCGGCUAUUCACAUAAACUUCCUCGGUUUGAAUUUAUUGUUCACCUAGUACGGAUACCCGAGCAAUAGGGAUUUUUGCUUACCGUUACAGUUUUUGAUUACGGUUGCUGAUAAUUAUUUGUGCGUUAGUGAAUGUUGCGUUUUUAUAUACAAUUUAUUGUGCAAUGAAUAAAUUGGUUUGUUUUUUUUUUAAAGAAGAAUCCAAAUUUGGCGUCCCGCUCUCCAACGGGAACUUCAUUGGCAGGAACACGAGGUUUCACAAAAUAUUAUCUGAAUACCUUUUUCUGACUUCCUUGAAAAUGAAAUGGA